This 492-nucleotide ribosomal RNA is filed under the name uncultured bacterium. Its description in RNAcentral is "partial 16S ribosomal RNA". It matches the Rfam family "Bacterial small subunit ribosomal RNA", at positions 29 to 507 of the family's 1533-position model. The record is from RNAcentral.
AGUGAACGCUGGCGGUAGGCCUAACACAUGCAAGUCGAACGGCAGCACAGUAAGAGCUUGCUCUUACGGGUUGCGAGUGGCGGACGGGUGAGGAAUACAUCGGAAUCUACUUUUUCGUGGGGGAUAACGUAGGUAAACUUACGCUAAUACCGCAUACGACCUACGGGUGAAAGCAGGGGAUCUUCGGACCUUGCGCGAUUGAAUGAGCCGAUGUCGGAUUAGCUAGUUGGCGGGGUAAAGGCCCACCAAGGCGACGAUCCGUAGCUGGUCUGAGAGGAUGGUCAGCCACACUGGAACUGAGACACGGUCCAGACUCCUACGGGAGGCAGCAGUGGGGAAUAUUGGACAAUGGGCGCAAGCCUGAUCCAGCCAUACCGCGUGGGUGAAGAAGGCCUUCGGGUUGUAAAGCCCUUUUGUUGGGAAAGAAAAGCAGCAGGUUAAUACCCCGCUGUUCUGACGGUACCCAAAGAAUAAGCACCGGCUAACUUCGUG